AGUGAACGCUGGCGGUAGGCCUAACACAUGCAAGUCGAACGGCAGCACAGGAGAGCUUGCUCUCUGGGUGGCGAGUGGCGGACGGGUGAGGAAUACAUCGGAAUCUACUUUUUCGUGGGGGAUAACGUAGGGAAACUUACGCUAAUACCGCAUACGACCUACGGGUGAAAGCAGGGGACCUUCGGGCCUUGCGCGAUUGAAUGAGCCGAUGUCGGAUUAGCUAGUUGGCGGGGUAAAGGCCCACCAAGGCGACGAUCCGUAGCUGGUUUGAGAGGAUGAUCAGCCACACUGGAACUGAGACUCGGUCCAGACUCCUACGGGAGGCAGCAGUGGGGAAUAUUGGACAAUGGGCGCAAGCCUGAUCCAGCCAUACCGCGUGGGUGAAGAAGGCCUUCGGGUUGUAAAGCCCUUUUGUUGGGAAAGAAAUCCAGCUGGCUAAUACCCGGUUGGGAUGACGGUACCCAAAGAAUAAGCACCGGCUAACUUCGUGCCAGCAGCCGCGGUAA
Molecule: ribosomal RNA, 506 nt
Filed under: uncultured bacterium
Lineage: Bacteria
Description: partial 16S ribosomal RNA
Rfam family: Bacterial small subunit ribosomal RNA
Source: RNAcentral